UGGAAUAAGAGGCCGUCUAACACCUAGUUGGAUUAUCUUGCAUUUCUCUAAAUUGGUAUGAGCACUUAAUUUCAUCUUUCUUAUACUUAUUUCUAACUAAGACAUUAAAAAGUGUGCAAAUUUUGAGUUGAUAUUAAUGAUUUGAUCAUUAGUUGUUGAAGUUUCAUUUUGCUCUUGGAUUUGUUAAAAGUUAGUUUAAGAUCUAAGAUUUGAUUAGAAUUUGGUUUAGAAUUUGGUCUACAAUUUGGUUAGGAUUAGGAUUUGUUUAAGAUUUGGUUUAAAACUUAUCAAAGAUUUAUUUAGGAU
Molecule: long non-coding RNA, 306 nt
Filed under: Physcomitrium patens
Lineage: Eukaryota; Viridiplantae; Streptophyta; Bryopsida; Funariales; Funariaceae
Description: long non-coding RNA (PPAT_LNC012405)
Source: RNAcentral